UACGGGGGGGGCAAGCGUUGUUCGGAAUUAUUGGGCGUAAAGGGCGCGUAGGCGGCCUGGCAAGUGGAAGGUGAAAUCCCUCGGCUUAACCGAGGAACUGCCUCCCAAACUGCUUGGCUUGAGACCGGGAGAGGUGAGUGGAAUUCCCAGUGUAGCGGUGAAAUGCGUAGAUAUUGGGAGGAACACCAGUGGCGAAGGCGGCUCACUGGACCGGUACUGACGCUGAUGCGCGAAAGCGUGGGGAGCAAACGGG
RNAcentral lists this ribosomal RNA (253 nucleotides) under uncultured bacterium. RNAcentral's name for it is "partial 16S ribosomal RNA". It matches the Rfam family "Bacterial small subunit ribosomal RNA", at positions 524 to 776 of the family's 1533-position model. The record is from RNAcentral.